Molecule: long non-coding RNA, 926 nt
Organism: Camelus dromedarius (Arabian camel)
Lineage: Eukaryota; Metazoa; Chordata; Mammalia; Artiodactyla; Camelidae
Exons: 4
Source: RefSeq, a predicted model, not a curated record
CUGCUGUGGGAGGCCGACCGGAGCGAGGAGCAGGGGCGCGGGCUUACCUGGCCUUCUGGACAGCGGGGUCCAGUUUGGGGCGGGGUGUUAGUGACCACUGUAUAGGGAGGGAGCGCUGGGGGCGUCGCGGACAGCGAGAGGGGAGAAUACUGAGCUGAGCGCUGCCUGAGCUAGGAUGCCCGCCCGGGGUGGCGCGACCCCCCCACCCCCAACCUUGUCUUGGGCUGACGAGGGGGGCUGCGCUCCGCCAGAGCAACUAGCAGUGCCUGGCACGCAGCGAGCCCUCAGAGUAUCCCGGCCUUGACUGCAACCCCAGCACGGGGAGGAAACAUGGAGGGGAGCGAUCCCUGGGCUGACAGAGGUUAACUGCCAUUAAGCACCCAGGCUGGCCGGGCGCGGUCACCACCCCUUCCUUCUCGCGGUGGCAGCUGAGGCACACAAGGCACAGCAUGUGUCCUCGGAUUGUGAAAGAGGCAGAGCUGGGAUACGAACCUGGGCCGUUUGGCUCUUGGCCACUGCGCUAGGCUGAGGAAAACGUGGACCCGAACCAGGCUUUGAAGAUUGGGAAGGGUGUGAAGGGUGGAUGACUGAGCGAGCUCUGCCCGGUUCGCUGUAAAACCUCGAGAAGACGUUUGCUCUUCAUAGGCCACCCUUUCCUCCGACGUAAAAAUGGCUGGACUUAGGAAAACUAAUAACUCAUAUGUUCACCUCCUAGCAAAUUAUUGGAAGGAACAUGAGAAAUGGUAAAUAUCAAGAAGCAGGAUUGCUGAGUUAUAAGGUACCGUUACAGGAAAAAAAGAAAGGAAACGAAGUCUGUAACAGCAGAGUCUGACCGGGGAGACAAGAGCCAAGAGACGUGGAUCCCCCAGGACAGCGGGGACGACUCUGCUCAAGACGCUCGUGCUGCUUACUUACCGGAGUGGCCG